Dermacentor silvarum is the source of this 9152-nucleotide long non-coding RNA. RefSeq lists it as uncharacterized. The record is from RefSeq and is a predicted model, not a curated record. The transcript has 3 exons. Lineage: Eukaryota; Metazoa; Arthropoda; Arachnida; Ixodida; Ixodidae.
UCAGGGCUACUUCUCGAGGCUCGUGACAAUAUUUUUCAGGCUUCCCGUAGUCUCCAUAUUUAUUGAAGGUUGCCGUCCUAUUCCUCGCUGAUGUCUCCUCCUAGUUUUGUUUCCGUCAGUCGGGUCUGUAGAGUAUAGGUUCUCCAGGUUCAUUGCAAACGUAUGUUAGCGAUUGAUUGUUUAUCUACUUCGUAUGUUCAGGUAUAUAUGGUCACGCGGUUGGAUGACAAGGUGGUUUUGUCCUGGCUCGGAACCGUUCAGUCGGGUCCUCUACUUUCUCGUCUUCUCCAUGCGCUUUCUCCCCAAAACGCUUGGUGGCAUUAGUGCCCCCCCCCCCCCUUCUGAAAGCAUUGACUCGAUGCCACACCGGCACAAGAGCUACUGUCUGAAGUACGGCUUGAGCCAUACGACAUGCACGAUUUCGGGCCGAAGCUGUCGACUCGAAGACAUGACGCCGUCCGGAAAUACCUCGUAAGUAACGUCGCUGACACGUUUCAGAACCUUGUACGGUCCGAAAUAGUGGCUUAAAGGUUUUUCGGACAAGCGUGGACGUCGAAUAGGGGUCCACACCCAGACUCGGUCGCCAGGGCGAUAGGCUACGUCUCGACGGCGGAGGUUGCAACGUCGUGCAUCGGCACCUUGUUGGUAACUGAUGUUUACGCGAGCCAGUUGGCGGGCUUCUUCGACGUACUGAGUGUAAUGCUCGGCGUCUGGAACAAUUUCAUUGGUUUUGUCGCACAGAAGCAUAGCGUCGAGCAUGUUUUGCACGUUGCGUCCGUAAACAAGACGGACAGGCGAAAAUCGCGUUGUUUCCUGUAUUGCCGUAUUGUAGGCAAACGAUGUACGGAAGAAUCUCGUCCCAAGUUUUAUGCUGCACGUCUACGUACAUUGACGGCAUGUCUGCUAUGGUUUUAACCUAUCCGUCAGUCCAUUCAUUUGUGGAUGGUAGGCUGUUGUUUUUCGAUGACUCGUGCAGCUGUCUGAAAAUGUCCAUUUGUGCUGUAAAUCACGUCCCCCUGUCCGUGAUCACACACAACGGGGCGCCAUGCCGCAGGAUGAUGUGGUGUACGACUUCGGAAGCCGUGCCGCGGGACAGUGCUUUUGUCUGGGCAUAACGAGUGAGGUAAUCCAUUGCAACGAUAAUCCAUUUGUUUCCGGUGAAUGACAAAGGGGAGGGUCCUAGAAGGUCCAUUCUCACGAGGUCGAACGGUGUCCUAGGUGGUGAAAUUGGUUGGAGUAGGCCCGCAGGUUUCACAGGUGGUGUCUUGUGGCGCUGACACUCGCGGCAACCUUUCACAUAGCGGUGCACGCUAGACGAAAGUCAUGGCCGGUAGUACUGCUGGCGCACUCAAGUGAAAUUGGCGAAUAGCCCAAAUGUCCUGACGUGGGUUCGUCGUGACAUGCAAAGAGCAUGUCGUCACGCAUGUCAGUAGGUACAACGAGGGGAAAGGCUUUAUCACUGCCACGGGCAUUUUUCUUGUACAGGAUGCCCCUUCUGAGAGCAAAAGGUGGAUAACUCGCGAGAAAUAUGCCGAGGAAGUUGAGAUUUUCGGCCUUCCAGGUCCCGAGGAAACCAUCGUCAUCCUCCGAGCAGGGUGUCCCACAGGUGCGCGGGAAAGCGCAUCGGCGUCUUAGUGUUUGCGCCCGGACCUGUACACAAUCGUGAUGUCAAAGUCCUGCAAGCGCAAACUCCACCGCGCAAAACGGCCACACGGAUAUGAUUUGCCAGCCAGCACAGAGAGUGGUGAUCAGUCACCACUUUGAAGGGACGGCCUUAGAGGUAAGGCCGGAAUUUCGUCGUCGCCCACACGACUUCGAGGCAUUCUUUCUAUGAAGUAGAGUAGUUGGCCUCGGCUAGAGUGUACGACUGGCGUAAGCUAUGACGUGCUCAACACGGCCGUGUUGUACAAGGACAGCUCCAAGUCCGACGUUGCUAGCAUCUGUGGGGACUUCUGUAUCUGCCUCCUCUUCGAAAUGGGCAAGUACAGCUGCUGUCUGCGUGCGCUCUCGUAGCUCUGCGAAUACUCUCUUGCUCUGUGGUCCAGGCAAGAAGUACAUCAUCUUGGGCGAGUCGCGUGAGCGGUUCGGCUAUCUUGGCGAAGUUGGCAAUAAAUCGACGAUAGUAAGCGCACAAGCCAAGGAAGCGUCGCACUGCUCUUUUGUCUGAUGUAACAGGAAAAAGCGGCGACGGCUGCAGUUUUGUCCCAAUCGGGAGGAACUCCAUCUGCACUCACGACAUGCCCAAGGAAUUUCAGCUCUUCAUAGCCGAAAUUACAUUUGUGAGGUUUCAGCGCGAGUUCAACUCAGCGAGUGACUUCCAGUACCAUUCGUAGGCGUUUCAGAUGUUCUUCGAAGGUGUCAGAGAAUAUGACAUCACCGAGGUAUACAAGACAGCCUUGCCACUUCAAGCCAGCGAGAACGCUAUCCAUCAUCCUCUGGAAAGUGGCCGGAGAAGAACAGAGGCCGAAAGGAACUCGGAAUUCAUAAAGGCCGUCUGAGGUUACAAACGCCGUCAUUUAUCGGUCUCGCUCAUCAACCUCAAUCUGCCAAUAGUCACUUUUAAAAUCGAUGGAUGAAAAGUACUCCACGUGCCGCAACCUGUCCAGAGUCAUCGACCCGAAGGAGCGGGUAAGCAUCUUUAUUUGUGAUGCUGUUUAGCUUCCUGUAACCAACGCAGAAGCGUGGUGUUCCAUUUCACUAGAACUCGCGAUGACCACGGGCUGCUGGAUGGUUGAAUGACUCCAUCGUCGAGCAUCUCCUUGCGUCUGAAUCGCCUCGCGUUCUUUAACAGACAUGAUUAGGGAUGUUGCCGGAUAGGGCGAUCAACAUCCUCGGUAAUUCGGUGCUUGGUGAGGGGUGUUUGGCGGACUUUAAACGAAUAGGCGAAGCAAGACAAAUUCCUUUGGAAGGUCGUGAAGUGUAGCCUUCCUCUCGUCCGAAAGCUUCGAAUUGACAUCGAUGCGAUCAAGAAAUUUGUCAUCAGCAUUAAUUUCCUCAGAUGCGUAGCACUCUGCAACGUCGGCGACAGGAUCUGCAUAGGCCGACGCUAGUGCCGCGGAAAAGAUGUCGGUGCUCGUAGUUGAAAUGUGUGAGGAGUAUUUGCGACCGCCUGUCACGAACACGAACCAGGCUUCGGGCAGCGCAUACAUGUACCUUGAAGCAGCAAGAGACGUUGCUUUCGGCGACCGCGUCCCCGUCUCGGAGGUUCUCGCACGUGACUUCUACUGGAACAGUGGCACGUGGCGGCAAUAUCACGCUGUCGUCAGCAACACGCAGCGCAGGUUUGACAGCUCUCGGCGUCUUGCUCUGUGGCACGUAUACUGUCGAGAAGGUCAUGCUACGCUCACGAAGAUUUAUAAUUGUGCCGUACUUGUGCCGUACUGAAUUGACGUGAACAGUCUUAGAGGACGAGGCAGGUGGCUACAAAUGUCGACGCACGAAUUUUAACUCUUGCAGUACAGCGGCCCAGAGUAAUAACGACGUGACCUCCAGUUGUGCGAAUGCGCGUUCCAUUCCAAGGUGUCAUAACUUUCGUAAGAAUCGUUGUCAAUUUCCCGCUAAUUGAAUAAUCUGCGCAUGUGUCCACCAAUGCGCUGACCUGUAGACAGUCUAUCGGCACAGGUAUGUCAAGCGAGACUCGGUCACCAAGUUCAGAUGGGGGGAACCGGCGAUUCUUUGCCACUGCACUCGUACGGGGGUGCGACCGAUGUGUUAUCUUCCUUAAGCGUAGAACUUGCCGCUGUCAGUGAAUCUGCGACAUUCCGUACAAGCGUCAAUGGGAGGUCUUCCGCACUUCGAGUCCCAGCGACCUCGCCCCCGAAGGCUGCUGCCUUCAGUUUUCCCGACGGGGGCUUGGAGAGCGAUUGACGUGUGAAAGGUACCCGUUGCUGGGCCAAAUGCUCUUCAAUUUCCCUGGGCCUCUGGCCAACCUGAGGACCGGCCUCACCGCAAUGGUAGCAGAGGGGUCGUCUGUCCGACGUACGCCAGAGAUCAGACUUUCGCGGGGGUGAACGGCGACCGUCGACGUCAAAGCCAGCGUGCGCUGCUUGAAUUGCGCCUGGCGGUGUCGUCCGAGACUGCGGGGCGAGAAACAGGUAUGGAGUUUCGCAGGCAUUCCGCAUACGAACGGGGUUGAAUAUCUGCGAACAUGGGGGCUGGUCCGGCAUCAGUGGGCACCACGUUGGUCAUCAGUGGGUAUCGGUGGCUGUGCAGUGCUUGCUGAACCUAAUCGCGGAUUACACUGGCAAUUAGAGCUUCAUUCUUAGCUCUAAUCGCCAGUGUAAUUCUCAGCCUCCGUAGAGCUUCAUUUCUUCGUGGAUGAGAAAGCGAACAAUUUCGCGAACCCAUUCGGUGCUACUGCUUCCAAAGGUGGCGAACAAUUGCCAGUCGAAGAGGGCACACCGCCGAUGAACUUUCUCCAUCACCGCAGCUUCAGUCAGAAACUCGGCCACACUUUUUGGAGGGCUUCGCAACAGACCAGCAAAAAGUUGCUCCUUCACGCCACGCAUCAGGUGGUGUAACUUUUUGUCAUCUGGCAUAGCAGGAUCCGCUCGUCUGAAAAGUCGUCGUAUCCUCGACGUACAUGGUGACGGUUUCAUUCGGCAUCUGAACGUGGGAUUGUAAUUCACGCUCAGCGUGUUCGCGGUGGUCGGUAUUCCUGUAGCACUCCACAGGGUGAUGUCGGAAUUCACGCCAGGAUGUUAACGUCUUCUCUAUUUUGGAACCACGUGCGGGCGGCGUCCUUUAAGCUGAAGUACACGCGCCGGAGUUUUGUGGCAUUAUCCCAGCAGUUGACCGCAGCUACACGUUCAAACUCCCUAGCCAGUCAUCCACGUCCUCAUAUAAAUCUCCGUGAAAGGCAGGGGCGACAGCGGGUUCUGAAGGGUACAGUAGGUCAGAGUAGGAAGCGUCGGAACUUCUGCGGUGAUUUGAGACGUCAUAGCAGGCUGUCCUAGUGUCUCUGGUGGCAAGCCUCGUUGUCGACGGCUUGCUUCACGAACUGGGGUGUUCACAGGCGUAAAACUCGGGUUCCCGCUGCCGGACGGGGUCUUGUGCAUGGGAUGCGUCGUCGUCGUCGUAACCAGCAAUCUCCACCAGUUUUGGUGACGUCAUUUCCCACGUCUGCUGUCGUUUCAACAGAGAUGCUUCGAAAAUUUAUUAGUGUUAGUACAUUUGUAUUCAAAUUUCUUACUGUCUGAAGGUUCAGAAUGCCGUUGUCAUCCGCAAUCUUUAUUCCCAUUCUGUUCGUAUAUAAUUUACCUUUAGUUGGGUCGACGAAGUCGUCCUUUCGAUAUUACGUCUAUUUCAAUGGCCUUGAUUAGUUACUAAUUCACCAUCUGGAUUUUGUUUUGAUGAAGAUUCUACUUCAGACCUCUCGCUUUCUCUUCGUCCGAAUGCUCCCAGCGCGAGUGUCUGUGCGGUGGAAUUCACAACUUUGUUUUUGUGCCACACAGGCCCAUGCAUGUUUGUUGGCUUCCACGUGAAAUUCUUGCAUCCUCUCCUUUAUUUUAACAUUCUGCCCAUGCUAUGGCCGUGUAUAGAACUGAACGGUCUUCCUGUGGUUUAGGACGUGCUAGUUGCCAUCAGGCACAUCGCAUUUUCCUUUUGCGUCGUUUGAUUUGCUCUCGUUGAUUUUCGUUUUGCACAUUUCAUGCUGAUUCGCAACGCUUGCAAACGACUGUUGCCCUGCAAGAUUCUGCCCUAUAUUUUGGGCAGACGUACCAGGAGCUUUUGUUUUCGUAUGGAAGCUUCUGCCUCAUGUCAUGUUACUGAUCGGCGGCACUCUUCAGUGAAGUUGUUUUGAUUCGAAUAGCGACAUAAUUUUGGGACUGAGCAUUGAAGUCUUGCGCGUAAACUUUGGUCUAUUAACCCAUUUUCUUUUAGCUCUUUCUUCACUGUCUUAGGAAUAAUGGAGUUAUUCGAUGCACCUUACAAGUUCCUGAAAAAAUCUGUGUUUAGUGACUCUGCACUCGACAUCUUUGUUUCUUCCUCGUAAAGAAUCCUCACUUCUGCCCGGAGUAGCUUGGACUCUGUCCUUGUAAAACUCGUCGUCCAUGAAUAGCUCUGGUCGCGUCCUACGCUUUAAAAUUGGCAUCAGCAUUGGAGCGUACGAAUCUAUUCACUCCGAGCGCUUCCACUGCAAUCAUGUGCAACCUUUGAAGCCAUCAGGAUUUUUUACUGGUUUUAACUUGAUCAACGCAUUCAUGGGAGUUUCCUUUAAUUACCGUAUUCUUCUUUCAAAAGCUACACAGCUGUCUAGUAAUUCUCGGAGUACUGUAGCCCUUCAAUCAGUGCAGCUGCCUUCCCAUAAAAGACAAAGUAGUGGAACGUCUGGUAAAUUCUGUUGAUGAACUGCGCUUUGAAACUGUCUACAAAGUCUUUGCCACGUCAACUUCUUGCCGUCAAACAUAAACAUCUCUAGCUUCGGCAGCUUCGCGUAAUUUCUAUGAUCCGGAGACCGAUUAACUGACGCUGACUGUUCACUUUCUAUUGCUGCAUUAUCGCGAUCAUUCGUCGUUAGUCGAUUUAUUGAUACUGGGCUAUCCUUUACAUUAUUGUAAUUACCUUCAUGUCAUAUUCUACUACUUUUUAAAUUCGUCGGGCGCUGUUUCCUCGAUGACAGGCGUCUUCAUCUGUGCAUUUGCGGCUCGGCAACUGUUAUGCCCUUGAUUUCACGAAGGCUCGUGGUUGCAAAAUCUACGUCUUCUCCGUCGCUCAUUUUUCUUUCUGCCUCUCAUGAGGUUCAUUAUCUCCAUCCUCAGUUUUCCCUCUUUUGCGAGACCUUUCUAUUCAUGUUCACAAUGCAGGCUUACAUUAACGAAGUAGCGACGGCUUCUACUUUCUCUUUUGCGGUUGCUCUCAGCUCCACGGCGUCCGUUCCCGAUUGGCAAUCGCAUGUAAGCUGCCUCGUUUUUCUUCACCGUUGUCCUUCUUGGUGGCGAGGGUCGAUUCCAGGUUCUGAGCUCAUGUUCCAUUGCGGUCCACAAGGAUACCCAGCCCGUUCCUGCACAUUGACUCACCGGUCUACGCUCCAGAGGAGAUUACUUCGAGCCCCACCCGCUUCAGGAGCAACUGUUAUCACUUCUACAUUCUCUCGCCGAUGGCGUCCUGCUGGCAGACUCGACUUUCCUCCUCACCCUGCACUACUACUGGUUCUGAGCUCCUGUUUUCGAUUGCGGCUCUCAAGGACGCCCAGCCGCUCCGGCACAUUCACUCUCCGGUCUACGCUCCAGAGAUUAGAGGACGAGCACCACCCGUUCCAGGAGCGAUUAUCACUUCUACAUUCGCCGAUGGCGUCCUGCUGGCAGACAGAACUUCGCCUGGCACCCUUACACUUCAUGCUGGAUGCCAGUGUCAUCGCUUGAGACUCAAAGGAAAUGUUCCAGCACGCUCAUUUACGACAAUAACACUCCUGGCCUUACCUCAAGAAUGACAAUCUUCAGCCCGAUCGUCCUGCUGCAGACUCUAAACAGUCAAAUUGCUCUGACCUUCGAAACCGUCGUACGCUUCCGUCUUGGCUGUGUCCUGCACUGUGUUGGCGGCGUGUUAAUGCUCUGAAGGACUGCUUGUCGUCGCCGUCCCGCCACCAUCCAUCGGAUGUACUUCAACAGUUCUUCUCUGUUGCCUUUUGUUUUUUUAUGCAGGCAUAUUUCAUGUUUCGUACAGCAAGCUUUUCUUGUAUGAAAGAGUGGUAUGUUGCUCAGCAAAUGGAUGGUGCUUCUAACAGUUAGGAUAAUACGAAGCAGAACAGCAAAAAGGUCUGGUUACGUGGACACCACCCAGUUUUCCAUAAGGAUUGUCUUCAUGAGCUGAUCUGUAAAAUUUUUGGUGGCGAGAGUAAUGGACAUUCAUUCACAUUGUGCACUAUCGUAGCAGUACGUUGAUAUUGGUGUGUGUGUGUGUGUGUGUGUGUGUGUGUGUGUGUGUGUGUGUGUGUGUGUGUGUGUGCGUGUUACCCGGUUGCAUGCGUAUUGGUUUGUUCAUUUCGUAUGUGCACACCUGUUCUGUGCUCCUUUUGUUCGGUCGAGAACGGAUCUAUGACAAAGCUUCACUGCUAUUCGGCGCACUUCGAAUUCAUUAUUUCGGUAGCAUUUCCAAGGUCACCGUUGUAUACACAACCCGUUGAUGGUUCAUUUCUCCGAUUCAUACCGGUUGAAAGCUGCCUGGUUUGAUGGCUUACUAUCGUCCAUGGGCAUCCGCUUUUGGAAUGAUUUAACAACUCGUUUCUUAGGUUUUGGUUCUUGGGUUAAUCUCAGUGCUCGUUUCAGCAUUCAGCGAAUUUGUUUAGGCAUCUUUCUCCUAUCGGAAACGAGGGCUUCAUACACAUUCUCGGUUCUUCCACUUCAUUCAUCACCGACUCAACAGAUCAACAUGCCACUACAAAAGCACACAAUGUCAAUGAAUGGGAAAGAAAGGGUAGUUACUCUCGCCAGCAACACUUUCAUGAUUAGCUCAUGAUGGUUAUGACGUCUAUUUUAAAACUGGUUGGUGAUAAAUGUCACCAUGCUAGCUGUUUCUAGUUAUGACGUGCCUGAAUCAUUAAAUGCUAUGAAAGUGUGGUGUGCUCACGCCGUGCGUUGUCUGUGUCACUUAUCGGUCUCAGCGGUUCGUAAGCUGUGAACCGUGGAACCUCGCAGAGAUUUGUUGCCAUCGUAGACACAGGAGUCGGAGCAGCGUACUGCUCUUCGACGAGGUAGAGUAGCAUGUAUCUGUACAUGGUCUAACAUUUGUAUUGCCUGGCCUUUGUUUAUCGGACAGUGCUACCCACUGUCGCCACUUGUUCACCGCGUAUACUGUGCCGCAUUGGCGCCGUGGUUUGAUUGGGAUUUGUGUGCAUAGUUAUCAUGUAUACUGCGCAGGGUCAGUAGGAACAAUGAACCACCAUUUUGCCCUUCACAUGGCUCUGACGUCGUUGUCUGCUGACUCUAGAGAUUACGCACAGUUUUGUCAUUUUGUGCUUUAAGUCUACUACUUGAGCCAUUGUAAAACGGCUGCUUUAAAAGAGCUACAUUUGUUCCCCCUUAUGCCACACCAUAUGUAAACACGCAUAGACAAGUGCACGAGUGCACGCGAAGAAAUCAUCGAAAGAAAAUGUCCGAUUUAGUUUUUUUUUUUUUUUUUUUUUUUUUUUUUUUUUUUUUUUUUUUUUUAAA